GGCCCAUUCUUCUAAAUGGUUAGGAAACAGGAUUUUCAUUCCUGCAAUAUCAGUUCGAUUCUGGUAUGGGUCA
RNAcentral lists this transfer RNA (73 nucleotides) under Bacteriophage sp. Its description in RNAcentral is "tRNA-Glu". It matches the Rfam family "tRNA". Rfam says of the family: Transfer RNA (tRNA) molecules are approximately 80 nucleotides in length. Their secondary structure includes four short double-helical elements and three loops (D, anti-codon, and T loops). The record is from RNAcentral.